AGAGUUUGAUCCUGGCUCAGAGCGAACGCUGGCGGCAGGCUUAACACAUGCAAGUCGAGCGGGCGUAGCAAUACGUCAGCGGCAGACGGGUGAGUAACGCGUGGGAACGUACCUUUUGGUUCGGAACAACACAGGGAAACUUGUGCUAAUACCGGAUAAGCCCUUACGGGGAAAGAUUUAUCGCCGAAAGAUCGGCCCGCGUCUGAUUAGCUAGUUGGUGAGGUAAUGGCUCACCAAGGCGACGAUCAGUAGCUGGUCUGAGAGGAUGAUCAGCCACAUUGGGACUGAGACACGGCCCAAACUCCUACGGGAGGCAGCAGUGGGGAAUAUUGGACAAUGGGCGCAAGCCUGAUCCAGCCAUGCCGCGUGAGUGAUGAAGGCCCUAAGGUUGUAAAGCUCUUUUGUGCGGGAAGAUAAUGACGGUACCGCAAGAAUAAGCCCCGGCUAACUUCGUGCCAGCAGCCGCGGUAAUACGAAGGGGGCUAGCGUUGCUCGGAAUCACUGGGCGUAAAGGGUGCGUAGGCGGGUCUUUAAGUCAGGGGUGAAAUCCUGGAGCUCAACUCCAGAACUGCCUUUGAUACUGAAGAUCUUGAGUUCGGGAGAGGUGAGUGGAACUGCGAGUGUAGAGGUGAAAUUCGUAGAUAUUCGCAAGAACACCAGUGGCGAAGGCGGCUCACUGGCCCGAUACUGACGCUGAGGCACGAAAGCGUGGGGAGCAAACAGGAUUAGAUACCCUAGUAGUCC
Molecule: ribosomal RNA, 744 nt
Filed under: uncultured bacterium
Lineage: Bacteria
Description: bacterial SSU rRNA
Rfam family: Bacterial small subunit ribosomal RNA
Source: RNAcentral